Molecule: ribosomal RNA, 484 nt
Filed under: uncultured bacterium
Lineage: Bacteria
Description: partial 16S ribosomal RNA
Rfam family: Bacterial small subunit ribosomal RNA
Source: RNAcentral
AGUGAACGCUGGCGGCGUGCUUAACACAUGCAAGUCGAACGAGAACGGGUUAUAGCUUGCUAUAAUUGUCAGCUAAGUGGCGCACGGGUGAGUAAUGUAUAGGUAAUAUGCCUCUUACUAAGGGAUAACAAAUGGAAACGUUUGCUAAUACCUUAUACUCCUUAUUAACAGAAGUUAAUAAGGGAAAGAUUUAUUGGUAAGAGAUUAGCCUGUAUUGUAUCAGUUAGUUGGUGGGGUAAUGGCUUACCAAGACUAUGACACAUAACUGGUUUGAGAGGAUGAUCAGUCACACUGGGACUGAGACACGGUCCAGACUCCUACGGGAGGCAGCAGUGGGGAAUAUUGCACAAUGGACGAAAGUCUGAUGCAGCAACGCCGCGUGGAGGAUGACACAUUUCGGUGCGUAAACUCCUUUUAUAUGAGAAGAUAAUGACGGUAUUAUAUGAAUAAGCACCGGCUAACUCCGUGCCAGCCGCCGCCGUAA